RNAcentral lists this long non-coding RNA (2157 nucleotides) under Homo sapiens (human). RNAcentral's name for it is "HSALNT0279780". The record is from RNAcentral. Lineage: Eukaryota; Metazoa; Chordata; Mammalia; Primates; Hominidae.
GUGCCCUUUAAGCCAGAAACAAACUCAACCACCAACCACCAAACCCACAAAUGAGACAAAACCAAACCAAACCAAAAAUCCAACAAAUAAACAAACAAAAAACUUUCCCUGAGACAAACCACAGAACUUUAUUUUGGGAAAAGAAAACAUUUUUUUGUUGGUCAAACUAUCAGCUCCUAUGAAAUACUCUUAGAGAUGUUUAUCCUGAGCUAGUUUUUUUUGUGGGGAGGUGCUGUUUACAUGCUAUGUUAAAAAUAACACGCAAAAAUUCACGAGACAUUGAUGAUGAUGAUGGUUAUACAAAUAACGAGAAUAAUGAUAUUGGCAUACAUCAUGUGAGUGGAAAAAAAAAGUUGAUGGUGGUGAUGACAAUACGAUCGAAACUGCUUUUGCUCCGUGGAAAGCCCUUUGAGAUGGGGACCUGGCUGUGCAGUUUGCGGUGUAUUUGCCUAAAACGCCAUCUGGCUGCUACGUAGAGGAAGAACACUGUUUGCUUUUCUGGCCUUUGUUUUCAUAAUUCUUCAAUUUCUCUUUAUGCUCCUAAAAAUUCUACAUAAUCCCAUUUCGAACAUUGCAUUCAUUCUCUUUUUUUUUCUCUUAGAAAACAAUAAGGGUUUUCAUUAAGAAGUAAGUCAUAAGACUGCAAGAGAACAAAUAAAACUCUUAAGAGGUCUCCCUCCCUCCCUCUCUCUCUGCAGGCUGGGGGUGGAGGAUUCAAACGAAAUUUUGCUUGAGAAAGUAGCCUGCUCGCUUCAGAAAAUUGAAUAUUUUAUUCAAAAAAGGUUAAUUUUGCAGAACCAAUUUGGCACACCUUUACAUCAUUCACACUACCUUCCCUGCCCCGUUAUUUAGAGAACUCUAAGAAACAUAAUCUAUACAUGCACACAAAGUUGGGAACAGUAGAUACUAGGGAAUACUAGAGGGUGGAGAGAUGGAGGGGCCAGGGCUGAAACACUACCUGUGGGGUGCUAUGCUCAGUACCUGGGUGAUGGGAUCAUCUGCAUUCCAAACCUCAGUGUCACAUGAUAUACCCAUGAAACAAACCUGUACCUGUACCACUCAAAUCUAAAAUAAAAGGUAAAAUUAUAUAUAAAAAAGGAAUAUGAUCCACAGAAUGUAUCAGACAAAAGGUGUUUGUUAUGGUGGCUAAUACACUUGGGGUUCAGAAAGUCAGUGGUGGCCACACACGGUGGCUCAUGCCUGUAAUACUAGUGCUUUGGGAGGCUGAGGCGGGAGGAUCAUGUGAAGCCAGGAGAUCGAGACCUCUCUGCUACAAAAAGUAAACAAACAAAAAUUGGCUGGGUGUGGUUAUGCAUGCUUGUGGUCCCAGCUACUUGGGAGACUGAGGUAGGAGGAUCACCUGAGCCCAGGAGGUCAAGGCUACAGUGAGCUAUGAUUGCACCACCACACUCCAGCCCAGGCAACAGAGCAAGACCAUGUCUCUUAAAAUUUUUUUUUUAAAGAAAAAAAGAAAGUUGGUGGGGACGUGAAUUCUAGAACUUUCUCUCCUCAAAUAUUUAGAACAGGUUGACAUGGUACACAACGUUCUUAAAAGAGCUUAGCAAGAGGACGGAGGCUCAGCAUUUGAAGGAAGCUGAAGCGAUCCUCCCUGUGUCCUCACAUGGUCAUCCCUCUGUGUGUGGCUGUAUCCUUUUAUUUUCUUGAAGACAGGGUCUCGCUCUGGCCCAGCAAAGAGUGCAGUGGUGCGAUCAUAGCUCACUGCAUCCUGGACCUCCUGGGCUCAAGCGAUCCUCCUACCUCAGCCUCCUGAGUGGCUGGGACCACAGGCGUACACCACUACACCUAGCUAAUAUAUAUAUGUUUUCUAGAUACAGAGUCUCCUUAUGUUGCCCAGGCUGGUCUCAAAUUCCUGGCCUCAAGCAAUCCUCCCGUCUCAGUCUCCCAAGUAGUCGGGUCUACCAGCACGCACCACCAUGCCCAGGUAAUUUUAAAACUUUUUGCGGCUGGGUGCGGUGGCUCAUGCCUGUAAUCCCAGAACUUUGGGAGGCCGAGGCAGGCAGAUCACUGAGGUCAGGAGUUAAAGACCAGCCUGGCCAACAUGGUGAAACCCCGUCUCUGCUAUAUAUACAAAAAUUAACCAGGCGUGGUAGAGGGCGCCUGUAGUCCCAGGUACUCGGGAGGCUGAGGCAGGAGAAU